RNAcentral lists this ribosomal RNA (1467 nucleotides) under Acinetobacter baumannii. RNAcentral's name for it is "partial 23S ribosomal RNA". It matches the Rfam family "Bacterial large subunit ribosomal RNA", at positions 1291 to 2742 of the family's 2925-position model. Lineage: Bacteria; Pseudomonadati; Pseudomonadota; Gammaproteobacteria; Moraxellales; Moraxellaceae. The record is from RNAcentral.
CGAAUGCUGACGUGAGUAACGACAAAACGGGUGAAAAACCCGUUCGCCGAAAGACCAAGGGUUCCAGUCCAACGUUAAUCGGGGCUGGGUGAGUCGACCCCUAAGGCGAGGCCGAAAGGCGUAGUCGAUGGGAAAAUGGUUAAUAUUCCAUUACUUCUGUGUAAUGCGAUGAGAGGACGGAGAAGGCUAAAUCAGCCUGGCGUUGGUUGUCCAGGUGAAAGGAUGUAGGCAUGUAUCUUAGGCAAAUCCGGGGUACUCUAUGCUGAGAUCUGAUAGCAAGCUGUACUUGUACAGCGAAGUGGUUGAUGCCAUGCUUCCAGGAAAAGUCUCUAAGCUUCAGUUACACAGGAAUCGUACCCGAAACCGACACAGGUGGUCAGGUCGAGUAGACCAAGGCGCUUGAGAGAACUCUGCUGAAGGAACUAGGCAAAAUGGUACCGUAACUUCGGGAGAAGGUACGCUGUUGUUGGUGAUGGAACUCGCUUCCUGAGCUGACGACAGCCGCAGAAACCAGGCCGCUGCAACUGUUUAUUAAAAACAUAGCACUCUGCAAACACGAAAGUGGACGUAUAGGGUGUGAUGCCUGCCCGGUGCUGGAAGGUUAAUUGAUGGGGUUAGCGUAAGCGAAGCUCUUGAUCGAAGCCCCAGUAAACGGCGGCCGUAACUAUAACGGUCCUAAGGUAGCGAAAUUCCUUGUCGGGUAAGUUCCGACCUGCACGAAUGGCAUAAUGAUGGCGGCGCUGUCUCCAGCAGAGGCUCAGUGAAAUCGAAAUCGCUGUGAAGAUGCAGUGUACCCGCGGCUAGACGGAAAGACCCCGUGAACCUUUACUGCAGCUUGACACUGAACUUUGACCUUACUUGUGUAGGAUAGGUGGGAGGCUUUGAAGCUGGAACGCUAGUUCCAGUGGAGCCGUCCUUGAAAUACCACCCUGGUAAUGUUGAGGUUCUAACUCUGUCCCGUGAUCCGGGACGAGGACCGUGUCUGGUGGGUAGUUUGACUGGGGCGGUCUCCUCCUAAAGAGUAACGGAGGAGUACGAAGGUGCGCUCAGCGUGGUCGGAAAUCACGCGUAGAGUAUAAAGGCAAAAGCGCGCUUAACUGCGAGACCCACAAGUCGAGCAGGUACGAAAGUAGGUCUUAGUGAUCCGGUGGUUCUGUAUGGAAGGGCCAUCGCUCAACGGAUAAAAGGUACUCUGGGGAUAACAGGCUGAUACCGCCCAAGAGUUCAUAUCGACGGCGGUGUUUGGCACCUCGAUGUCGGCUCAUCUCAUCCUGGGGCUGAAGCAGGUCCCAAGGGUAUGGCUGUUCGCCAUUUAAAGAGGUACGCGAGCUGGGUUUAGAACGUCGUGAGACAGUUCGGUCCCUAUCUACCGUGGGCGCUGGAAAUUUGAGAGGAUCUGCUCCUAGUACGAGAGGACCAGAGUGGACGAACCUCUGGUGUACCGGUUGUGACGCCAGUCGCAUCGCC